This 386-nucleotide ribosomal RNA is filed under the name Foraminifera environmental sample. RNAcentral's name for it is "SSU rRNA". It matches the Rfam family "Eukaryotic small subunit ribosomal RNA", at positions 1129 to 1436 of the family's 1831-position model. The record is from RNAcentral. Lineage: Eukaryota; Foraminifera.
ACGCACGUGUGAAACUUGAAGGAAUUGACGGAAGGGCACCACAAGAACGCGUGGAGCAUGUGGCUUAAUUUGACUCAACGCGGGAAAUCUUACCGGGUCCGGACACACUGAGGAUUGACAGGCAAUAUUAAAUAAAGAAAAUUUUUGGACUAUCUGAUAUUUAUGUUAAAUAUGCUAGUCCUUUCAUGAUUAUGUGAUAGGUGGUGCAUGGCCGUUCUUAGUUCGUGGAGUGAUCUGUCUGCUUAAUUGCGUUUCACUAAGGGCUUAUCUAAUUAUAACGUGUGUUGCUAGAGUUUUAUACCUUUGUGACCCCUUUAAUUAGUGUGUGUCUAUAAUGGUAGCUUUGGCUCACACAAUUAAGGUCCUGAAAGCAACGAACGUGACCG